GGGGCAGGAGUUGUAUCUUCUGCACGAAAGAAGGGCUUGAUUAACGAAUGGAGCCCAUGCUUGGACUUAGCCUCGCUAGGUGCCAAAGGGUUCGGGUUGUAUGUAUCUUCGCACGGAAAAGUGAUUGUUCUUCUUCCAUGGGUUGAACCAUUGGAUCAUAUUUUGUAUGCUUUUAAACAUUUGAUGCCAGCUUUGUGAUCUAUGCUGUGGAUGGAAUCUAAAGGUCAGAGCUCUUUGAAAAUUGUACG
RNAcentral lists this long non-coding RNA (248 nucleotides) under Elaeis guineensis (African oil palm). RNAcentral's name for it is "long non-coding RNA (EGUI_LNC032095)". The record is from RNAcentral. Lineage: Eukaryota; Viridiplantae; Streptophyta; Magnoliopsida; Arecales; Arecaceae.